GAAAUGCGAUAAGUAAUGUGAAUUGCAGAAUUCAGUGAAUCAUCGAAUCUUUGAACGCACCUUGCGCCCUUUGGUAUUCCGAAGGGCAUGCCUGUUUGAGUGUCAUUAAAUUAUCAACCUUGCUCGCUUUUACUAGCUUGAGUUAGGCUUGGAUGUGAGGGUUUUGCUGGCUUUUGUGGUCUGCUCCCUUUAAAUGCAUUAGUGGGAUCUAUUGUGGACCGUCACUUGGUGUGAUAAUUAUCUAUGCCUUUUGACUUUGAAACAAACUUAUUGGAACCUGCUCAUAACCGUCCUUCACGGGACAACUUUUGACAAUUUGACCUCAAAUCAGGUAGGACUACCCGCUGAACUUAA
RNAcentral lists this unclassified non-coding RNA (354 nucleotides) under uncultured Mycena. Its description in RNAcentral is "sequence contains ITS1". The stretch from base 1 to 105 matches the Rfam family "5.8S ribosomal RNA", at positions 50 to 154 of the family's 154-position model. Lineage: Eukaryota; Fungi; Basidiomycota; Agaricomycetes; Agaricales; Tricholomataceae. The record is from RNAcentral.